GAUGAACGCUGGCGGCGUGCCUAAUACAUGCAAGUCGAGCGAACGGACGAGAAGCUUUCUUCUCUGAUGUUAGCGGCGGACGGGUGAGUAACACGUGGAUAACCUACCUAUAAGACUGGGAUAACUUCGGCAAACCGGAGCUACUACCGGAUAAUAUUUUGAACCGCAUGGUUCAAAAGUGAAAGACGGUCUUGCUGUCACUUAUAGAUGGCUCCGCGCUGCAUUAGCUAGUUGGUAAGGUAACGGCUUACCAAGGCAACGAUGCAUAGCCGACCUGAGAGGGUGAUCGGCCACACUGGAACUGAGACACGGUCCAGACUCCGACGGGAGGCAGCAGUAGGGAAUCUUCCGCGAUGGGCGAAAGCCUGACGGAGCAACGCCGCGUGAGUGAUGAAGGUCUUCGGAUCGUAAAACUCUGUUAUUAGGGAAGAACAUAUGUGUAAGUAACUGUGCACAUCUUGACGGUACCUAAUCAGAAAGCCACGGCUAACUACGUG
This 497-nucleotide ribosomal RNA is filed under the name uncultured bacterium. RNAcentral's name for it is "partial 16S ribosomal RNA". It matches the Rfam family "Bacterial small subunit ribosomal RNA", at positions 28 to 507 of the family's 1533-position model. The record is from RNAcentral.